Molecule: ribosomal RNA, 490 nt
Filed under: uncultured bacterium
Lineage: Bacteria
Description: partial 16S ribosomal RNA
Rfam family: Bacterial small subunit ribosomal RNA
Source: RNAcentral
AUUGAACGCUGGCGGCAGGCCUAACACAUGCAAGUCGAACGGUAACAGGAAGAAGCUUGCUUCUUUGCUGACGAGUGGCGGACGGGUGAGUAAUGUCUGGGAAACUGCCUGAUGGAGGGGGAUAACUACUGGAAACGGUAGCUAACACCGCAUAACGUCGCAAGACCAAAGAGGGGGACCUUCGGGCCUCUUGCCAUCGGAUGUGCCCAGAUGGGAUUAGCUAGUAGGUGGGGUAACGGCUCACCUAGGCGACGAUCCCUAGCUGGUCUGAGAGGAUGACCAGCCACACUGGAACUGAGACACGGUCCAGACUCCUACGGGAGGCAGCAGUGGGGAAUAUUGCACAAUGGGCGCAAGCCUGAUGCAGCCAUGCCGCGUGUAUGAAGAAGGCCUUCGGGUUGUAAAGUACUUUCAGCGGGGAGGAAGGGAGUAAAGUUAAUACCUUUGCUCAUUGACGUUACCCGCAGAAGAAGCACCGGCUAACUCCGUG